CAGCCUGGCAUGUGUAUGGGAUGGAGUGUUGGUGGAGAGCCCUACAAGGUCCACGUCCUGAGCCCAGGUUUGAAUUCUACCCCUACACUGUCAUCUCGUGCACUCAUGGGCACCAUCCGAUAACGCCCCGCACGCCCCCGCCUCCCCACACACCUGUGUGCAGGGACCUAUGGGAGUGUAUCCUCCAAGUCCAGGCCGGCUCCCCAUACACCCUUACACACUGUCAAGCAACGAGCUCUCCACACCCCCUUCCUCCCCACCCCAGUGCGCGACCCCGUCGCCAGCCAGUUCCCCUUCGCACACACACCAGUGUGCACCGUCCGGUACUGGCCGCCGUACUGCGUGGUGACCUCCGGGCCCAGGCAGGCGGCGCUCAGCGCGGGCUGGCGGCUAAGGCCCCGAUACAGAGCCGCCGCCUCCUCGGGCUCACUCAGCAGCACCUGCGCAGGGGACACACCAGGGUCAGGCCCGGCCCGGGCUGCGGGGACCACGGGGACCGCGGGCCGAGCCCUCACCUGACGUUCCAUAGUCUCCUCUCUGCCUCCCGGGCGAGGCGGGGCGGGGUGUGCUCGCGCCCGGAAGUGAGUCUUCCGGGGGCGGAGCCUGGGACCGCCCCGGCUGUCUCCGCCCCUGCCCGGCGGCAAUCUGGGACGCGGGGGCCUUCGGCGAAUAGGCGAGAACCGUUGGCAAGGGGCGGGCCUUGACGAUGCUUCACCCAGGCAGCUGCUGUGAGAAAACAUCACGUCCUCAACUGAGGCCUGCCUGCCACGUCCCACCUGGGCAACUCCAAGGAAACAUCGGCUGAGCGGAAAGCUGCAGGAAGCCCGCUGUGGGAGGGUGAAGGCAGGAAGAACGCUGAGGGCUGCAUUAUGGCUACUGUAAUUAGAAUAAAUUCCAGGCUCCUUACUUGGCCUGUACAACCCACCCCAGCUGGCUGCCACCCCCUUGCACCUCUCCACUGCACUGUGGCCCUGGCUGUGCUGGCCUUUUCCCUGUCCCUGGUGCCCCCCAUCCCAUCCCAGCAUCCGAUCAUCCAUCGGUGCUGUUCCCUCCCCUUUUUUCAUCCCACAGCAGCCGUCCUCCUCCCUCAAGCUCCCCUCACGUAUCUUCACAUAUCUGCACUUUGACUAGAGCAGACCCCACUGCUUCCAUAGCUCUGCCUUGCUGGCUUUAUAACACUUAUCCCUUUCAGAAAGUAGCUUUUUAAUUGAAUUUUAUUUUUAAACUUAUUUAUUCUCUAUCUUCUUUAAUGGAUUGUCAGCUUCAGAGGGCAGGGACUUGGUUUUGUUCUCUGCCAUAUCCCCAGAGCCUGGAAGAGUACCUGGCACAUACCUGGGGCUUCACAAACAUUUGUUGAAUAAAUGGAUGGAAGCCUGGGCCUUUCCAGAGCCCCACUGCUUUUCCAGAGAGAGGUAACCUGUGAGGUAUCACACCUAGCUCCUUCCCUCCCACAACCAGUGCUGGUCUGGGCUCAGCAUCUGCCGGCCCCAGGGCUCCCUUGAAGUGACCUGCUCACUGACGGCCAGGCCUCGCCAUGGAUAACACAUAUAUGCCUAUGCACUGUGAGAAGCAUCCUGAAGGGGCAAGGAAGGAGAAGAGGAGGGCCCGAGGGCUAUGGGAUGGUGGUCAGUGGUCCUGGCUGUGCACAGAGCUGUACCAACAACCAGGCGAUUCUCCUCCCACCCAGGAUGAUGCACUUCCUCCUCCUCCCACAGAGGCAGGGUCAAGGCCAGGGCCAGGGCAGGCUCCAGGAAGUGGUGUCCC
Molecule: long non-coding RNA, 1764 nt
Organism: Piliocolobus tephrosceles (Ugandan red Colobus)
Lineage: Eukaryota; Metazoa; Chordata; Mammalia; Primates; Cercopithecidae
Exons: 3
Source: RefSeq, a predicted model, not a curated record